UUGGUCCUUUUUUACAAGAUCAUCUCGUUUGAUAAGCAUUAGGGGACAAAUCCUGUGAAGCCAUAUGUGUAGCCAUGCCUGAGCUAGGUUUGAUCUGGCUAGUUCCAAGAACGAUCUCAAUGAAGCUGCAGUAGCAUUGGCCACAGCACCAGCUGCACAACACUGAGUGGGACUUGGCGUCCCCGCUAUUGUUACUCGAGCGAGCGAAAUCCAAGCUAACGCCUCCUGUCUACGUGUGCUGUGGCCACACCUCUGCCAGCAGUGCGGUGACUUAGUUAUAGAUGUGCAACUGUGAGCAGACUCUUAUAGUUUCUCAUGGGAGCUCAUUUUUAAGGGACUUAAUAUUGAUGAUCCACACCGGCUAAAAGAAGAAAAUUCCAAACUCCGCUUGAUAGUUGGGGUACUUUUUCAAAGGGCUGCACAAAAAGGUUAACUUCGUCCCUUCCAUUUGACACGAAUGGAAUUGAUGACUCAAGUCUCAAUAAGCUAUUCUAAGAGGGUAAAGUUCACCUUACUUACAAGGCUAACGUCGUACCUCUGAACAAUGAAAGUCUGACUGCAUUCCUGAUGAGAUGAACUUAGAAUGGUGUCAUUUGGCUUAACCAGAGAGAGAGAGAUUCUCUGACUCACCUGCUGUGGUUGUGUCCUCUGGACCACCAAGAACCUGUUUGGUAUCUAGGCUGUACCCAUGUGUCAAAUGCACAUACACAUGCUAAGCACAACCAGAUGGUGCAGGAUUCUGGCAGCUGGUUAUGUUGACUCUGAUGUUUGGCCAACAGUUGGUAGAGAUACUCAGUAAUGCCAACUCUAGGUAUCAUGUCAAGCCCCCAAAAUCAUGAGAUUUUUUUUAAAAAUAAAUAAUUUUGAAGGUUUGGGUUUUUUUGUUUUUGUGGGUUUUUUUUUUUUUUUUUUUUUUGUCCUCUGAUUCCUUAGCCUCCAUGACAUAAUUUGGUCACAUUUUCAACCUUUUCUCUCCAACCACAAGAGCUGGAAGCUUACAUUUUAUUAACGAUGGCUGAGAUUAUCCCCUAAUUAUACAAUACCAGCAGCUGGGAAAAACUCGCAAGAGUCAUAAAAUCAAGAGAGCCAGUCACAGUGGAUACCAGCCCUGUGCAAUUCUUUGAAAUGUGCAUUCCUCAUGGCAUUCUGGAAAAUACAACCCGCCACUAUCUCAAAGAGCUGUGUGUGGUCUCCUGGUGAGACUGCCUGGAAAAUGGUAUGUCACAACAAGAGCAGUGCAAGUGUCUCCUCACUGGUUCUCAUCACCGACUCCAUUGGGAUGGACUGUCUGUAGUUAUCAGCCUGUAGAGUGAAGGAGUACCCUUAUCCUUCAGAGAUCUCGGUACCUCCUUCAAAGCAGUUGAAACGGGGAUUCAGGAUUUAUUGUACAGUAUGUAUGUUACUGCCAAAAUGCAGAAGACGGAGCUGCAAGGCAAGAAACCGCACACUCAUACCAGCUUGUGCUAACUAGAGGCAGGACUGACUUAGCAGACUUGCUUAAUAUUUUGGAUGUUAGGCUUGGCAGGUGACGGUGAAGGAGGAAUGGUAACUCAGUAGGUCUCCCUGAGAACUGUUUGCUGCUUAGGACUCUUGAAAACCAGGCACGUGCCUAAAUAUGGGAUCCAGGAGCCUAACUUCAGGCUCCUGUUUUAGAAAAUCUUGGCACCUGAUUAAAUUCCUUCUGCACUUUCUGUUGGACACUAAAUUCUUUUUCAUUUCCUGCCAUACGCUGAGGUGCAGGGUUAAUUACUAAAUUUCACCUAGGUAGUCGCAUUUCAGUGGCAGGUGCAGCAAUCCCUAAAUAUGGGAUGAGCCACAAGACCUGAGUAAGGGGCGGUGCCACCCCAGCAGCUGGCCAGGAGGAGUCGGAGAGGUAUGCUAUGAUUCCUGCUUCCAGCCCUGCUCUUGCUCCAGAGGGGAAGUAAUCUGUGCCAGCCCUAUAGCUUGUCUGAUUACUGUGCCUUCUCAGCUGCAUCAGCUGGCAUGUUUCAGGGGAGGAGAAAACAAGACACCACCCACUCUUUGCCCACCUGUGCAGAAAGGAAAGCAGCAACUGUACCUAGGCGACACCACCUGCAGCAAUGCUGUGCCCCACAAUAAGCAUAAGCCGUACAGGGAAGGAAGGGAAUUCGGGCACGUGCCAUGUGUCACAGUUGCGCCCAUAGCAUGCAUAUCCGUUUUGAAAAGCAUUUUGGGUUGCUUUGGGAUAAACAGUUCUAUACAAAUGCAAAGUACUGUGGAAUUAAUCUGCAAAGGUCACCAGGACGAGCAAGGACUCCGGGAAUCAAUGAGAUCAAAAGGCGAGGAAAUGAACAAACAGGAGAGUGGGGAGAAAAGCAAACAGGAGAAGGCACAACCAGCCAAGUGACCUUUCCUUUAGACAAGGCUUCUGCUUUCCUUUUCAGUCCCUCCGUGAGGGGGUAUACAGACCCCACACUGGGCUCCUGGGGGUUAAAAGGCAAUACUGGAUCCAGAUAACCUGCUCCUCCAGAUGGAGCAUGCUUCGCAGACUGGAGGGGUGGGGCUAACAGGAGCUCAGAAGGCCAGGUAAAGGGCUGGUGGGCAGGUUGCGAGAGACAAACCUUCACCUGAGAGGCCAGACAGAAGGUUGAUCCUGAGAAGGGACCACAGAGCGGGUAGGGGCCACAGGCAGAGCCUUCUCCAACCACCACCCACUUGGAGAACCAGCAGCUUCUGCAGAGCCCUGCUCAGUUGGACUCUUUGUUACUCUACUGACUGUUUGGGCUAUAGGAGCCACGCCCCACACUGAAGGAGCAUGGAGGUAGGAAGCAGCCCAGGGUGGCAGAUGUAGGCUCUCUGCAGGGAGGACCUUGCUGAUGUUGCUUUCCACAGGACCCUGGGUGGGGACCCAAUGGAGAGGGAGGGCCUGGGUCUCCCUAACACCCUCCCCCUUAUGGGCAAAGUCCCAGAUGUGGGUGGAGUCCAAAACACUCCUACCCUAAGGCCCGGAAAUAGGCAUAUCUACUGCCCCCUGACAGAGAGCCAAGGGGCUGGAGGUCAGAUGUGCUUACUGCUCGGCCACCUGGCCCUCUGAGCGCCCUAUUGUACUCUCUGCUGUGCCCUCCCUUAUGUUCAGCAGUUGUGUUUGGUAACAAGGUUACGUAGGGAGGAGUUAUUUGCUCAGUCUGGCCAGAAGAAUACCAGAUGCACCACAAGGGAACGUUGGACUAGCUGCUGAAGCUCCAAACUACAGGACUGGACAACAGGCCAGGUUCUGAUCACAUUUAUGACAGCUUGUCUCUCUAGUGUAACAACAUCAACUUCAAUUCAGUUGCGCCUAAGUGACUCUAUUGAUUUGAAUGGAUUUGCACCUGUUUACACCAGAACUGAUUUGACCCUUUUUCCUUACCUGACCUACAUUUCCCAUUGCUGACUUAAAAUGGAAGUUUGCAUUUGUAUUAGCAACCAGAUUCCACUGCAGUAGGCCGCAUUAUAAAGGAGUGAAAGACAUAGACACA
This is a long non-coding RNA of Chelonia mydas (Green sea turtle), 3479 nucleotides long. RefSeq lists it as uncharacterized. The record is from RefSeq and is a predicted model, not a curated record. The transcript is spliced from 2 exons. Lineage: Eukaryota; Metazoa; Chordata; Testudines; Cheloniidae.